CGCUGUUAUCCCUAAGGUAAUUUAGUCUUAUAGUCACUAAAAAUGGAUCAAAAAUAUAUAAUGUAUAUAAAAAUAAAAAGAGUUAUAUUAAUCUUCCCAUCACCCCAACAAAAUUUACAUAAUAUUAAAUUAUUAACCCACAAAAAAUAUAAAUUAAAUCAAACUCUAUAGGGUCUUCUCGUCCCAAAAAAAUAUUUAGGCAUUUUAACCUAAAAUUUAAGUUCAAAAAAAAUAAAAAUUUAAGACAGUAAAUACCUUGUCAAAUCAUUCAUUCCAGUCUUCAAUUAAAAAACUAAUGAUUAUGCUACCUUUGCACAGUCAAAAUACUGCGGCCAUUUNAAAUUCAGUGGGCAGAUACUACANCAANUAUAUACAAGAUGCGAUGUUUUUGUUAAACAGGCG
RNAcentral lists this ribosomal RNA (402 nucleotides) under Cryptocercus punctulatus (brown-hooded cockroach). RNAcentral describes it as "partial 16S ribosomal RNA". Lineage: Eukaryota; Metazoa; Arthropoda; Insecta; Blattodea; Cryptocercidae. The record is from RNAcentral.